Molecule: ribosomal RNA, 242 nt
Filed under: uncultured bacterium
Lineage: Bacteria
Description: partial 16S ribosomal RNA
Rfam family: Bacterial small subunit ribosomal RNA
Source: RNAcentral
UGGGUAACCUGCCUCAAAGAGGGGAAUAGCCUCCCGAAAGAGAGAUUAAUACCGCAUAAUAUGUUUAGGUCGCAUGACUUUAACAUCAAAGGAUUUUCUUUUAGAAAUUCCACUUUGAGAUGGACCCGCGGCGCAUUAGCUAGUUGGUGAGGUAACGGCUCACCAAGGCAACGAUGCGUAGCCGACCUGAGAAGGUGAUCGGCCACAUUGGAACUGAGACACGGUCCAGACCUCUACGGGAG